AACAAUAUAAUCAAUGCUAUGCUCAAAUAGAAUGCUUAUGAUGAAUGCAAGAUCGUAUUUUCAUUAUCCAAUCUCUUGCCUAACCCGUGGGUUUGCCUACAGCUCACCAACUCAUAAUCCAAGUCAUCGGGGAGACUACUACGACACGAUGGGACCGUCCUCUGGGGAACAGCACCAACACAGUGAUGACAACUGCGGAGGUCAUCGCUUGAGAGGGAGCUACCACCCUCAAGCCAGGACUUAUAGGCGAGUAGUUAGUAGCAGUUUUGGGCAAAUAACAUUGGUAGCAGAUGAAGUGCAAGCUAUGAAGUUAUGAUACUUUUUUGGCUUCCUUUUGAAAAUAUGAUGAACUGCUAAUUUUAUUGUAACUUUUGGUAAAUGUAUAUAUGCUACAUAUGUUGGUGACCUUCACACAUAUAGUGUAUGGAUAAUUCAGAACUAUAUUUAGGGCGUGUUUGGUUCAAUGAUGGAAUUGGAAUGGAUAAUGGAAUGAGAAUGAAUUGGAAUGGUAA
Ananas comosus (pineapple) is the source of this 512-nucleotide long non-coding RNA. RefSeq lists it as uncharacterized. The transcript has 2 exons. The record is from RefSeq and is a predicted model, not a curated record. NCBI's taxonomy places the organism in Eukaryota, Viridiplantae, Streptophyta, Magnoliopsida, Poales, Bromeliaceae.